UUUUUUUUUUUUAUUUUUUAUGAUCUGUUCUUUUUAUUUCCUCCUUAAUGGGCUGUGAUGAUUAAGAACUACCUAUUUUCUGAGGGGAGUUCUUUCCCUUGAUUAUAAGAAACCAAUGGAUCCUCUGAGCCUGUUCCGCAUUGUUUAUUUCUCUUUGUAAAUUUAUGCACUGCAUGGAACACACCACACGAAGAGUUUUAGCAUGUUUGGUUGUGUUUAAAAGUAAGUAUUGCUAGUAAAGGAAGUUUCUUUGACGCCAGCAAUAUGCACAGGAUGUGGAGGAAAGAGAGAAAAUGGUUAGGUAUAUUUGGAAUGCGUACAGCCACAGUAAUAUUAUCAGGUUGUGUAAUUUCUGGCCAGAGGCCUUUGUGGUGGCGUACCACAGCUUAACUAGUGAAGCUGCCAGCGUCCGGACAGACAGUGUCGGAGAUUUCCAAGAUGUACUUUUGGUCCAGAGAUAUCUAUGAACCACGACCUCCUCUGCAAUUAACCAUAGCUAGAUAAAUUGCAAAGUGAAGUGUAAUUUUGUGCACUUCCAUGGAUGGUACAGAGCAUCUAAGAAGGAAGCUUGACAAUGAACACAAGUGGGAAAGACAAGAAGGCACCAACAACUGCGAAAGGGGCCAGUCGGAUUAUUGAAGGUGGCUAUCACUCUCCAAGAGUCUGAUCCAAUAAGAGUCUCCAAUUAAAUUUCUAGGGAUAGCGUGUAUGGAAGGUCAAUAGCAUAUGAAUCUAAUGGUUCUUAACUCCCCAUUGCAAAGUAAUGAGAUGCACUUGUGGUAGGUAUAGUAAGGAGGAUUGAAUAGUAUUGACUAGUGUUUUAAAAGGCGUAAUGCGUGGCGAUGUGUGGAGGUCAAGCUAUGGGCUAUGCGAGUUUAGGUGAAGCUUAGGAGUAAGAAAAACGUAAAAAGGGCUUCUUCUUUUUUUCAUUUUAAUAGUAUUUUAAUUUUUAAUAAAUCAAAAAAUUA
This is a long non-coding RNA of Olea europaea var. sylvestris, 968 nucleotides long. RefSeq lists it as uncharacterized. The record is from RefSeq and is a predicted model, not a curated record. The transcript is spliced from 3 exons. Lineage: Eukaryota; Viridiplantae; Streptophyta; Magnoliopsida; Lamiales; Oleaceae.